This 207-nucleotide ribosomal RNA is filed under the name uncultured bacterium. Its description in RNAcentral is "partial 16S ribosomal RNA". It matches the Rfam family "Bacterial small subunit ribosomal RNA", at positions 568 to 774 of the family's 1533-position model. The record is from RNAcentral.
UGCGUAGGUGGUCGGGUAAGUCCGAGGUGAAAUCUCCAAGCUUAACUUGGAAACUGCCUUGGAUACUAUUCGGCUGGAGGGUUGGAGGGGGGACUGGAAUGCUUGGUGUAGCAGUGAAAUGCGUAGAUAUCAAGCGGAACACCAGUGGCGAAGGCGAGUCCCUGGACAACUCCUGACACUGAGGCACGAAAGCUAGGGGAGCAAACA